This 468-nucleotide ribosomal RNA is filed under the name uncultured bacterium. RNAcentral describes it as "partial 16S ribosomal RNA". It matches the Rfam family "Bacterial small subunit ribosomal RNA", at positions 28 to 507 of the family's 1533-position model. The record is from RNAcentral.
GACGAACGCUGGCGGCGUGCUUAACACAUGCAAGUCGAACGGAAAGUUCCGGCUUUUGGGCGGUGGUCGAGUGGCGGAGGGGUGAGUAACACGUGGGUAACCUGUACCUGACUGUGGGAUAUCUUAAGGAAACUGGGGCUCAUACCGCAUAGGAUCUCUUGCUUCUGGGUGGGCGUUGGUUAGUUUCGGUGGUUGGGGAUGGACUAGCGGCUUAUCAGCUUGAUCGGUGGGUAGUGGAUGACCAAGGCUAUGACGGGUAGCCGGCCUGAGAGGGUGACCGGCCACACUAGGCCUGAGCUACGGCACAGCCUCGAAUCCUACGCAACGGUGGGGAGUAUUACACAGUGGGCUGGAGGCAGACGUGACCCCGCCGCGUGCGGUAAGACGUGAUUGGGGUUGUGAACUACUGUCGUUUUAGCCGAGGCGUUAGUGACGGUACCGGGUAAAUAAGCACCGGCUAACUACGUG